CCAACUUCAAAUCCGAACUUCUGAUUCUGAUCACCAAAGUCAUUGAUCAUGACAUCAACAAUAGGUACUUGAUCAAUUUUUGGUGUAUUGAUUUCAAUGACAGUCUUUUCAUAGCCUUUUCUGGACGCACAACCAUCAUACAGUGUUUUGAUAAAAGGAUUAUUGUCAUAGGACAUCUCCUCAUCAUUUGAUCCCAGGAAGCGAAGUGCUUUGUCAUAACUUCCUGAUGACACAUCAUACCAGGCUGCUGACUGAUGACA
RNAcentral lists this long non-coding RNA (260 nucleotides) under Homo sapiens (human). Its description in RNAcentral is "LNC_000126". The record is from RNAcentral. Lineage: Eukaryota; Metazoa; Chordata; Mammalia; Primates; Hominidae.